RNAcentral lists this ribosomal RNA (468 nucleotides) under uncultured bacterium. Its description in RNAcentral is "partial 16S ribosomal RNA". It matches the Rfam family "Bacterial small subunit ribosomal RNA", at positions 28 to 523 of the family's 1533-position model. The record is from RNAcentral.
GAUGAACGCUGGCGGCGUGCCUAACACAUGCAAGUCGAGCGAUUCUCUUCGGAGAAGAGCGGCGGACGGGUGAGUAACGCGUGGGUAACCUGCCCUGUACACACGGAUAACAUACCGAAAGGUAUGCUAAUACGAGAUAAUAUGCUCUUAUCGCAUGGUAGAAGUAUCAAAGCUCCGGCGGUACAGGAUGGACCCGCGUCUGAUUAGCUAGUUGGUAAGGUAACGGCUUACCAAGGCGACGAUCAGUAGCCGACCUGAGAGGGUGAUCGGCCACGUUGGAACUGAGACACGGUCCAAACUCCUACGGGAGGCAGCAGUGGGGAAUAUUGCACAAUGGGCGAAAGCCUGAUGCAGCAACGCCGCGUGAGCGAUGAAGGCCUUCGGGUCGUAAAGCUCUGUCCUCAAGGAAGAUAAUGACGGUACUUGAGGAGGAAGCCCCGGCUAACUACGUGCCAGCCGCCGCCGUAA